RNAcentral lists this ribosomal RNA (517 nucleotides) under uncultured Campylobacterota bacterium. RNAcentral's name for it is "bacterial SSU rRNA". It matches the Rfam family "Bacterial small subunit ribosomal RNA", at positions 920 to 1434 of the family's 1533-position model. The record is from RNAcentral. Lineage: Bacteria; Pseudomonadati; Campylobacterota.
CCCGCGCAAGUGGUGGAGCAUGUGGUUUAAUUCGAAGAUACGCGAAGAACCUUACCUAGCCUUGACAUUGAUUGAAUACUUUAGAGAUAGAGUAGUGCCCUUCGGGGAACAUGAAAACAGGUGCUGCACGGCUGUCGUCAGCUCGUGUCGUGAGAUGUUGGGUUAAGUCCCGCAACGAGCGCAACCCUCGUCCUUAGUUGCCAGCAGGUUAAGCUGGGCACUUUAAGGAGACUGCCUUCGCAAGGAGGAGGAAGGUGAGGACGACGUCAAGUCAUCAUGGCCCUUAUGGCUAGGGCUACACACGUGCUACAAUGGGGCGUACAGAGAGUUGCGAUACCGCGAGGUGGAGCCAAUCUCAUAAAGCGUCUCUCAGUUCGGAUUGAAGUCUGCAACUCGACUUCAUGAAGCUGGAAUCACUAGUAAUCGUAGAUCAGCAAUGCUACGGUGAAUACGUUCCCGGGUCUUGUACUCACCGCCCGUCACACCAUGGGAGUUGAUUUCACCCGAAAUUGGGAAG